GCACCGUGGAGGCAGUCAAGGGCGUCAUCAAACCGAGGUACUCCUCGAUCACCGGAUCCUGGAAGGGUUGCGGAUUUGCUUACCUCUCUUGACUGGCCACAGGUACGGGGAAUUUUAGAUACCACACCCAUACGACAGUCAAUAAAACUGUUGUUCUUAUUGUG
Dermacentor andersoni is the source of this 164-nucleotide non-coding RNA. The record is from RefSeq and is a predicted model, not a curated record. NCBI's taxonomy places the organism in Eukaryota, Metazoa, Arthropoda, Arachnida, Ixodida, Ixodidae.